RNAcentral lists this ribosomal RNA (481 nucleotides) under uncultured bacterium. Its description in RNAcentral is "bacterial SSU rRNA". It matches the Rfam family "Bacterial small subunit ribosomal RNA", at positions 28 to 498 of the family's 1533-position model. The record is from RNAcentral.
GACGAACGCUGGCGGCGUGCCUAACACAUGCAAGUCGAACGGGACUCAGCCCUUCGGGACUGAGUUUAGUGGCGAACGGGUGAGUAACGCGUGAGGAACCUGCCUUUCAGUGGGGGACAACAGUUGGAAACGACUGCUAAUACCGCAUAAUACUUUCGAGCGGCAUCGUUUGAAAGUAUUAUGCGGUAUCGCAUGAUACAGUGUGAAAAACUCCGGUGGUAUAAGAUGGACCCGCGUCUGAUUAGCUAGUUGGUGGGGUAACGGCCCACCAAGGCGACGAUCAGUAGCCGACCUGAGAGGGUGACCGGCCACAUUGGGACUGAGACACGGCCCAAACUCCUACGGGAGGCAGCAGUGGGGAAUAUUGCACAAUGGGCGAAAGCCUGAUGCAGCGGCGCCGCGUGAGCGAAGAAGUAUUUCGGUAUGUAAAGCUCUAUCAGCAGGGAAGAUAAUGACGGUACCUGACUAAGAAGCACCCGGG